CGGGGAAGUGCAGACUCCCCCUUAAACGGCCCGCCCGUUCAAGCUCUGC
RNAcentral lists this non-coding RNA (49 nucleotides) under unclassified sequences. RNAcentral describes it as "chromate-resist RNA". It matches the Rfam family "chrB-b RNA". The record is from RNAcentral.